RNAcentral lists this ribosomal RNA (505 nucleotides) under uncultured bacterium. Its description in RNAcentral is "partial 16S ribosomal RNA". It matches the Rfam family "Bacterial small subunit ribosomal RNA", at positions 28 to 507 of the family's 1533-position model. The record is from RNAcentral.
GACGAACGCUGGCGGCGUGCCUAAUACAUGCAAGUAGAACGCACAGUUUAUACCGUAGCUUGCUACACCAUAGACUGUGAGUUGCGAAUGGGUGAGUAACGCGUAGGUAACCUGCCUGGUAGCGGGGGAUAACUAUUGGAAACGAUAGCUAAUACCGCAUAAUAUUAAUUAUUGCAUGAUAAUUAAUUGAAAGGUUCAAUUUCACCACUACCAGAUGGACCUGCUUUGUAUUAGCUAGUAGGUGAGGUAACGGCUCACCUAGGCGACGAUACAUAGCCGACCUGAGAGGGUGAUCGGCCACACUGGGAACGGGACACGGCCCAGAAUCCUACGGGAGGCAGCAGUAGGGAAUCUUCGGCAAUGGACGAAAGUCUGACCGAGCAACGCCGCGUUAGUGAAGAAGGUUCUCGGAUCGUAAAGCUCUGUUGUAAGAGAAGAACGGGUGUGAGAGUGGAAAGUUCACACUGUGACGGUAUCUUACCAGAAAGGGACGGCUAACUACGUG